AUACGUAGGGGGCAAGCGUUAUCCGGAUUUACUGGGUGUAAAGGGAGCGUAGACGGUUUGGCAAGUCUGAUGUGAAAGCCCGGGGCUCAACCGCGGGACUGCAUUGGAAACUGUCAGACUUGAGUGCAGGAGAGGUAAGUGGAAUUCCUAGUGUAGCGGUGAAAUGCGUAGAUAUUAGGAGGAACACCGGUGGCGAAGGCGGCUUACUGGACUGUAACUGACGUUGAGGCUCGAAAGCGUGGGGAGCAAACAGGAUUAGAUCCCCUGGUAGUCCACGCCGUAAACGAUGAAUACUAGGUGUUGGGAGACAAUAGUUUCUCGGUGCCGCAGCAAACGCAAUAAGUAUUCCACCUGGGGAGUACGUUCGCAAGAAUGAAACUCAAAGGAAUUGACGGGG
This 397-nucleotide ribosomal RNA is filed under the name uncultured bacterium. RNAcentral describes it as "partial 16S ribosomal RNA". It matches the Rfam family "Bacterial small subunit ribosomal RNA", at positions 523 to 918 of the family's 1533-position model. The record is from RNAcentral.